UACGUAGGGUGCAAGCGUUGUCCGGAAUUAUUGGGCGUAAAGAGCUCGUAGGCGGUCUGUCGCGUCGGCUGUGAAAUCCCGGGGCUCAACCUCGGGUCUGCAGUCGAUACGGGCAAACUAGAGUAUUGCAGGGGAGACUGGAAUUCCUGGUGUAGCGGUGAAAUGCGCAGAUAUCAGGAGGAACACCGGUGGCGAAGGCGGGUCUCUGGGCAAUAACUGACGCUGAGGAGCGAAAGCGUGGGGAGCGAACAGG
This 253-nucleotide ribosomal RNA is filed under the name uncultured bacterium. Its description in RNAcentral is "partial 16S ribosomal RNA". It matches the Rfam family "Bacterial small subunit ribosomal RNA", at positions 524 to 776 of the family's 1533-position model. The record is from RNAcentral.